GAUGAACGCUGGCGGCGUGCCUAAUACAUGCAAGUCGAGCGAACAGAUGAGGAGCUUGCUCCUCUGAUGUUAGCGGUGGACGGGUGAGUAACACGUGGAUAACCUACCUAUAAGACUGGGAUAACUUCGGGAAACCGGAGCUAAUACCGGAUAAUAUAUUGAACCGCAUGGUUCAAUAGUGAAAGACGGUUUUGCUGUCACUUAUAGAUGGAUCCGCGCCGCAUUAGCUAGUUGGUAAGGUAACGGCUUACCAAGGCAACGAUGCGUAGCCGACCUGAGAGGGUGAUCGGCCACACUGGAACUGAGCCUCGUUCCAGACGCCUACGGGAGCCAGCAGUAGGGAAUCGUCCGCAAUGGGCGAAAGCCUGACGGAGCAACGCCGCGUGAGUGAUGAAGGUCCUCGGAUCGUAAAACUCUGUUAUUAGUGAAGAACAAAUGUGUAAGUAACUAUGCACGUCUUGCCGGUACCUAAUCAGAAAGCCACGGCUAACUACGUG
This 497-nucleotide ribosomal RNA is filed under the name uncultured bacterium. Its description in RNAcentral is "partial 16S ribosomal RNA". It matches the Rfam family "Bacterial small subunit ribosomal RNA", at positions 28 to 507 of the family's 1533-position model. The record is from RNAcentral.